Long non-coding RNA from Sinocyclocheilus anshuiensis, 1852 nucleotides. RefSeq lists it as uncharacterized. The transcript is spliced from 5 exons. NCBI's taxonomy places the organism in Eukaryota, Metazoa, Chordata, Actinopteri, Cypriniformes, Cyprinidae. The record is from RefSeq and is a predicted model, not a curated record.
AUUACUAAUGAAUAUAAUUAAGAUCGACCGCUUCCGGAUUGACCGUUUUACAAACAAAACUAAAAAUGGCGUCAGUUACAGAAAACACAGAUGAAUCAAACACCCAAAUAAAAGAUAUUCCUGCAGAUCAGUGCCCUUCUGUGAGACAACUGGAGGCUCUUGAUGGGAAAAUCUCUGACAGACUAGAACAGAUCGAGCUCUGCACCAUGAUCCUGAAUGACCUGCUGGAAAUGCAGAAAAUAGUCGCUGAAAGAUGCCUUGAAAAUGCAUCACUUUGAGGACUGGAUAACUGAACCGUUUCCUUUCAGUAUUAGAAAUCUACAAUGUCCUUGAUGCUGCCUGAACCCGAAGAAAUCCAGAAUAAGGAAAAGCAAUAGUUUAUUAAGCUAGUUUGUUGCAUUAAAUCAUAAGUUAAUGCCUUAAAAAGUCCCAUGUGUGAAUGAAAACGUAAUGAUGAUGGCACCUGAUGAAGGUGGAAUAAUAAUAAUAAUUAAAAAAAAACAUUGUAGGCUGUCAGUCGAUCUUGAGCAAGAACACAACCAGAAGGGUUGACAGUCAAGCAAGUAGUUCUUUCACCAGUAUUUUUCCAACAAUAAAACAAAUGCAAGAUUUUCAUGUCAUGUGGGGGUCAAUAAAAAAAAAAAUACAUUGAAGCAGCAAUAAUUUUCAACAGGAAAAAUAUACAUAUACACAUAUAACAUUGCAAUGCCCAGAUACAAAACAAAACAGAUGAAGUCACACCAAACAUAACUGUACACAACAAACAUUGAGACUUAAGAAAAAAAAAAGGCUUUUAAAUUUGAAAUACUCAAUGCAAUAGGACACGGCUGUUUCUCUAAAUGAUGACUUGCAUACUAAAAUGACCACUGAAUGCUAACACGCACGAUAUUUUGCUUAUGAACAUGUACAGAUGGAGUGAUUUUAUGUUUUUUCUAUAUGCUCCAUGACAUUGCAUAGUUGCUUAUUUUUGUUAGGUGAUGAAUAAUAACUGCCUUCAAUCAAAAUGAAUAUUUCAUGUAAAGUAACUUGUCAAAACUAGAGUCCUAUGCGAAAUAUGCGAACAAAACAAGGCCGGAAAGCAUGUGCAUUAUUAUAAUUAUUAAGGUACGGUUGAUCAUUAUAUUGGCUGGACCCCAAAGUAAGUGCAUUUAUUAGGGAAAAACUGUGUCGUUCAGACAGAUCGCAUUAUAAUGUUCUAGUACUAGGUUUGCACAGGUCCCAUUAAUAGAUAUUUAAAAAGAAAAUGUAGUGGAUAAAUAACAAAGCAACUGAUUAACAUUUUGGGAGCGACGUACACAGAGCUACCAGCGCAAUGAAGCAUCACUGUCAGUUCACCGUUUAAUUUGGCACUGGAUAGGAAAAGACUCGCUCGGUAAUAUCUAUCCGAUUCAAAUUCUCCAUAUCUAGUCCAUGCUGAAAUGAAAUAACUAUCACGAGUUGUAAGGCAAUUCUUGUCCUACUUGAGUCUGAAACACAAGGAUCUGCGGAGAACUACAUACUGCAUAAGAGAUGCACAGGUGACAGUAAAGGCAGUGCAGAGUCACGUCUCUCAUCUCAUCUCACACCCAAAGUCUGAUUUCUCAUAGUUCUAUACAAAAAUACAAAUACAAUCUAAAGGCUUAAACAUUUAUCAUCUCAAAUGUACUAUGUAUUUACAUGACGGUCAUCUCUUUAGAACCUCUAUACAGCAGUGGUAUAUAAAUGAGGGGCAAACGAGCGGCGUUGAACCGUGGCUGGGUAGUGCACUACAAGCAGGUUAAAAACAACAGGUCAGAUGAGUUGUGUCUGCUUACCUGGUCAGCGCACGCACACACACACGCACACGCACACGGACACACAUGCACAAACACAC